UUGGUCAUAUAAAACGGCGGCCUUCCGAUGACCUAGUUAGGAAAAUAGAGGAUACAAUGGAGAAAAAAAAAUUCAUGUAGCUGACCUCAGGUUGUGGGUCAAAGACUUGAUGUUGUUGUCGUUGUGUUGUUGAUCAUAUUGAUAGUUAGCAAGCAUAUUUUAACUGUGAUGGAAAGAUGCUGCUGCUGAAUGGAUAGAAUUUGUAAAGAAAAAUGACUCUUCGAUAUUUAAUGUAAGCCUCCUUCACGUGGUCCAGAAGUUUUUAGUUCACUUUAAUUUUUUUUUUCUUCUGAAUAUCAAAAUUGUUUAUGGGUAUAAAUAAUAAAUUAGAUUGCAUUAGUUCUACAUGGUAAAAUUUUGAGUGCUUUGUUUGUACACACACAUGAUAGGAUAAUAUAAUGGCAAGUAUUACUACCAGUAUUAUCUAAUUGAUGCAAAUGCA
Molecule: long non-coding RNA, 442 nt
Organism: Dendrobium catenatum
Lineage: Eukaryota; Viridiplantae; Streptophyta; Magnoliopsida; Asparagales; Orchidaceae
Exons: 3
Source: RefSeq, a predicted model, not a curated record